This 402-nucleotide ribosomal RNA is filed under the name uncultured bacterium. Its description in RNAcentral is "bacterial SSU rRNA". It matches the Rfam family "Bacterial small subunit ribosomal RNA", at positions 355 to 774 of the family's 1533-position model. The record is from RNAcentral.
UAGGGAAUAUUGGUAAUGUGCGAAAGCGCGAACCAGCAACGCCGCGUGCACGAUGAAGGCCUUCGGGUCGUAAAGUGCUUUUAGAGAGGAUGAGGAAGGACAGUACUUUCUGAAUAAGCCUCGGCUAACUACGUGCCAGCAGCCGCGGUAAAACGUAGGAGGCAAGCGUUAUCCGGAUUUACUGGGCGUAAAGCGCAUGCAGGUGGUUUUGUAAGUUGGAUGUGAGAGCUCCUGGCUUAACUGGGAGAGGUCGUUCAAAACUACAAGACUUGAGAUUGGUAGAGGAAAAUGGAAUUCCGGGUGUAGUGGUGAAAUGCGUAGAUAUCCGGAGGAACACCAGUGGCGAAAGCGGUUUUCUGGACCAAUCCUGACACUCAGAUGCGAAAGCUAAGGUAGCAAACG